This 3175-nucleotide long non-coding RNA is filed under the name Salvia miltiorrhiza (redroot sage). RNAcentral describes it as "long non-coding RNA (SMIL_LNC007249)". Lineage: Eukaryota; Viridiplantae; Streptophyta; Magnoliopsida; Lamiales; Lamiaceae. The record is from RNAcentral.
CUACAAGCAUUUCAAGCAGCUGCAGUAGCUGGGAGUUCUAGUAGUACUAGUCAUGUGGGGAAGAAAUCGUUAAAUGGUGCUGUGGUUGGUGCUGCAAGAGGUUUGGAUGAAAGAGCGAGGAAAAGAGCAGCAGCAAAGGCCCUUUUGGUACGCAGGCAUGGUGGUCCUGCACAGGCUUCACCGCCGACCUCUAACAUCAUAAACUCAGGGGAGCCACUACCAACGGAUGUUGCUGUAAAUGAGGCCUCCGAUGGAGGGAAGAAAGAAUCCGACAACCAAACCUCAAAUGGAGUGCUGGGUUCAGAAGGUCAUGAACCCAAGCCAGGUCAGCAAGAUCAGGCUCCGGUUGGAUUAGGCCCGGGCUUGGCUGCCUUGGAUGCCAAGAAGCUGAAACCAAAAUCCAAAGCGAAAGCAACAACUGCCGAGUCUUCUACCUGAGCCUGACUACAUUUUGAUUCUUUUUGUUAGGUGUAGUUUUGGUCAGUCUGAAUUACGUUUCACACCUGCAAUUGAGUUAUACAUUCUGCUUUGAUCCAUAAUUAGUUUAUGGAUACAUUCUGCUUUUGAAGCAUGAUUAGUUUACAGAUGCACUAAACUCUUCCAAAGUUCUAUUAAUAAGUGUGCUAUGACAAUUUUGCAUUUAGAGAGUAUUUCUCUGCAAUUGUUAUUUUAUGAAAUUCUUCAUAAUUUUGAAGCCCUCAUUAUUAUGUUUCUGUGCUACCCUUCAUAUCUAUACAUAUAUAAAAGCUGGUCCAUCUAGCCAAAAAAAUUUCCCGCCCUUUUACUCAAUUUAUUUUUGGAAAGUUGAUCUAUAUUUGGAAAGUUGCCUAAUUUAUAGGAAGAUAUAUAUAUAUAUAUAUAUAUAUAUAUAUAUAUUUCUUAAUUAAGUAAUUAAAAUUUAAUUGAACGACAUUUAUUCCCAUCAUCUAUAUAUGAAAUUUAUAUGUAAAAAAUUUGUAGAUCACUAAUUUCAAUUAAAUCUUUUGUGAGAAAUAUUCAUCCAAUAAAUAAAAUUCAAAAUAUAAAUACAUAUAAAUUGCAUGGGAUCUUGUAGUCAUUUGCAAAAGUGAAUAUUCUUUUUGAUUUACACGCAAUUUUAGACUAUAGAUUGUUUUUGAAUUCAAGAGAAUAAAAAAUUAUUUACGAACUCGUAGCAAUAUCUCAUAUAAAUUAUUUUUGAUUUACACGCUAUCUCAUAGAUUGAUUUCUAAUUAUUUUCAAUUAAAUCUUUUGGAGAUAAACAAAAGAAGGGCUAUAUAAGGCGGCGAUUAAUUUUUUGUUGUGAUUUUGCAAAGUAUGACAAAUAAUAAUAAUAAUAAUAAUAAUAAUAAUAAUAAUAAUAAUAAUAAUAAUAAUAAUAAUAAUANCGGGCAUUGCUUCUUUUAAGUUUGUCAUCUGGUCCAGAUCACCCUGAUGUCGCUGCCACUUUCAUAAAUGUCGCGAUGAUGUACCAAGAUAUUGGGAAGAUGGAUACGGCCCUUAGAUACUUGCAAGAAGCAUUGAAAAAGAAUGAGAGACUGUUAGGAGAGGAACAUAUUCAGACUGCAGUGUGUUACCAUGCUUUGGCAAUUGCUUUCAACUGUAUGGGAGCCUUUAAGCUAUCUCACCAGGUAUAUGCCGAUUGCGGAAUAUUGAUAUCUAUGUGAACUUAUGGUGUGUGGAAGUGUAACAUCCCUUAAUGUUAUUUGAUCUUUGAUAUAGGCAGCACGAAACAAAAACAAUAUGAUAUUCUUCUCAACAACUUGGUGAGGACGACUCUAGGACAAGGAUUCUCAGAACUGGAUGAAAACUUUCAAGAUGCGUGAACUGCAAGUAAUGCUCUAUUCAAGUUUAUUCAGGAAGUUGUUUGCUUUUACUUGUUUUUAUUUAUUAGUUAAAUGGAUAUUCUUACCUUCCAAGAGAGCAUAAAAUAUUGUUUGUAUUACAGUUGAAUGCACAAAAGCAAAAAGGACAGGCUUUGAAUCCAUCUUCUGCUCAGAAGGCUAUUGAUAUAAUUAAGGUAUUCACUAAAUCCAUUCUCCUGUUUUUUUAAUGCCUUUUUGUAUAUCUCAGUAUUCAUGUGCUUUACUUUCCACAAGGGUUAAGAAACAAGUGUGCAUUGUCAUUUUGUCAAGAGAAAACCUACUUCCAACCUCCCAGGGUGAUAUAAAAAUUCUUUAUUGUGAAUCUAACCGGUGCCUGAUCUUGCUUUCAAUUUUUUCUUGCAAUUAAACCUAGUGCUAUCUUCAAGUUCAAGUCGGAGAGAGUCAAUUCUCGCACAUAAAUGGAACUUCUAGUGUGAUCCUGUAAAUACUCUGCAUUUGGUAUAUUUAUGAUUUGCUGCGACCUUCGUUGCUAAUACAAACAUGUGUUGAGUUGUGCAAAAUAAACAUUUUGUAGAAAAUUUAGCGAGUGUGCUUAUUUUGGUGUAUAGUCAAUUUUCAGUAACACAGUUGAUACUUUAUAUGAAUGACAGGCCCACCCAGACCUGCUACAAGCAUUUCAAGCAGCUGCAGUAGCUGGGAGUUCUAGUAGUACUAGUCAUGUGGGGAAGAAAUCGUUAAAUGGUGCUGUGGUGGUGCUGCAAGAGGUUUGGAUGAAAGAGCGAGGAAAGAGCAGCAGCAAAGGCCCUUUUGGUACGCAGGCAUGGUGGUCCUGCACAGGCUUCACCGCCGACCUCUAACAUCAUAAACUCAGGGGGAGCCACUACCAACGGAUGUUGCUGUAAAUGAGGCCUCCGAUGGAGGGAAGAAGAAUCCGACACAAACCUCAAAUGGAGUGCUGGGUUCAGAAGGUCAUGAACCCAAGCCAGGUCAGCAAGAUCAGGCUCCGGUUGGAUUAGGCCCGGGCUUGGCUGCCUUGGAUGCCAAGAAGCUGAACCAAAAUCCAAAGCGAAAGCAACAACUGCCGAGUCUUCUACCUGAGCCUGACUACAUUUUGAUUCUUUUUGUUAGGUGUAGUUUUGGUCAGUCUGAAUACGUUUCACACCUGCAAUUGAGUUAUACAUUCUGCUUUGAUCCAUAAUUAGUUUAUGGAUACAUUCUGCUUUUGAAGCAUGAUAGUUUACAGAUGCACUAAACUCUUCCAAAGUUCUAUUAAUAAGUGUGCUAUGACAAUUUUGCAUUUAGAGAGUAUUUCUCUGCAAUUGUUAUUUUAUGAAAUUCUUCAUAAUUUUGAAGCCCUCAUUAUUAUGUUU